CGUAUGGUGCAAGCGUUAUCCGGAUUACUGGGUGUAAAGGGAGCGCAGGCGGUGCGGCAAGUCUGAUGUGAAAGCCCGGGGCUCAACCCCGGUACUGCAUUGGAAACUGUCGUACUAGAGUGUCGGAGGGGUAAGUGGAAUUCCUAGUGUAGCGGUGAAAUGCGUAGAUAUUAGGAGGAACACCAGUGGCGAAGGCGGCUUACUGGACGAUAACUGACGCUGAGGCUCGAAAGCGUGGGGAGCAA
RNAcentral lists this ribosomal RNA (245 nucleotides) under uncultured bacterium. RNAcentral's name for it is "partial 16S ribosomal RNA". It matches the Rfam family "Bacterial small subunit ribosomal RNA", at positions 526 to 771 of the family's 1533-position model. The record is from RNAcentral.